GUGCCUGUAGCGCAGUUGGUUAGCGUGCCAGAUUGUGGCUCUGGAGGCCGAGGGUUCGAGUCCCUCUAGGCACC
RNAcentral lists this transfer RNA (74 nucleotides) under Candidatus Darwinimomas equi. RNAcentral describes it as "tRNA-His". It matches the Rfam family "tRNA". From Rfam's summary of the family: Transfer RNA (tRNA) molecules are approximately 80 nucleotides in length. Lineage: Bacteria; Bacillati; Bacillota; Clostridia; Lachnospirales; Lachnospiraceae. The record is from RNAcentral.